GCCAAGAUCAUACCACCGCACUCUAGCCUGGGUGAUACAGUGAGACUCUGUCUCAAAACAAACAAACAAAGAAAAUUAUGAUAGCCUGAGAAUUGGGGGAUGAGGAUUUUGGUUGUAGGCCUUUUAUGAUAAUUACCCCUCAGUGGUGUGUAGAAAAAUAUGUAAAUUUCCUCUAUUUCAAGACUUCAAACUACCACAGGAAGAAAAGUCUGAUACAACAUUUGUAAUGUUUCCAGAGCUCUCAGAAUGGGUAUUUUUUGGUAAAUAAGUCGGAAGAGGACUAAAGUAUCUUGGGUUAGUCUAGUAAUAUUUCAGUAGGAUCCUUAGGUUGAUGCUGACUUCUUUUGGGGAUAAGUUUAUAUUUUGUGUGGUGUUUCCUUUUUUUUUACAGGGAUGUAGUAGGAGCAGUGAUAUAUGAUACAUUUUGCCACGUUCUGCAGUAAUGAAGAUGUUUAAUGGGGCAGACGCUGUUUUCAGUAGCAUGACAAUGGGCGCACAGCUUCCAGCUAAACUUUUUUCUGUUCCCAAAUGAUUGGGUGGACGUCAUCUCCACACUAACAUGUUUUGAAAAAGUAUGGAAAUUAUUCCUCUGCUGUCUGUAAAUGCCCUCUUCAUCUUAAUGCCUAUUAUCAAUUUGUUUCUCAAGAAACAAUUGAAAUGUAAGUCUUUGUUGUCCCCCAAUCACUUUGUUUUGACACACUGGUGGGAAAAGUGGCUUUCAAGAAUAGUAAUUUCAACUUUGAUUUUACGCUUCACUUUGGAAUACAUGUUUAUUAAAUGUGCACCUCACCGACAGAGUAAUCAAUACAGAUUUUGUAGUACAUUAUAAGAAAACCAUGUCUGAGAUUAUUAAAGAAGUUAAAUGCUUUUAGUUUUGCUUACUUGAGCAAUAUGUGAAAAUUAACAGUUUAAACCCUUUCACGUAUCUGACCAGGCUUAGUCUUAGUCAGAACUCAUGGUUUUUUGGGGGGUUCUUUAUCUUUCUUUUCUGUUUUUUUUUUUUUUCUAAGUAAAGUUUCAUAUACUUUAUGUGGUUAGCAUUCAUCUAGUAAACAUUAAAUUGCCUGAAAUCCUAAUUUUAAAGACUAACAUUUAUGGAGAGAGAUUCACACUUAGAUGGGAGACAGAAAGCAAAAGGAAAUUGAUUGAGUGGCUGCAGCUUUCCCUGAAAAGCAGUGCUGCAUUUCCAUCACAUUCCAGAAACCUUUAUAGAGCAAGAAAGAGAGGUCAUCCAGGUCUAACUGUGCUAAGGACCAAUGGAUCCCAGACACAAAUAUAUCUCCCAUGCACCCAGAAACCUCAUGAGAAUCAGCCAAAGCCUUCUUCGAACAGCUGUUUCUCAACAAUUCAGGAGUUUAUCUACCUAAUAAAAAAGUAACUUGGCAGGAAAAAAAAGGCUGAGACUCUCAAUAGACUCUUCUCGGGCCUAGUGGAGCCUGAAGAACUCUUCAAAGUCUUAGUCAACAGUGAACAGAGGAAUUUGAACCAGCACACUCAUCUAUACCACAAACAAGUUGCCGCGAGAGCCAGAGACGGGUCAAUUUUUACAUGAACAUUUUUUUCCCAGGUCAAAUAAAGGCAGAUUCAAAUAAAAUAGGCCAAGUCCAAGGUGGAAGAUUAUAACAAAAACUCAGGGAACAGGAAAGUGAUUCUUUGCCUCCAAUAUAAUAUCUCACAAGCAGUUCCCACUAACACAUUCAGUUAACUCAGGGAGUAUUUCAAUUCAUGGGAUCUAUUUUUCGUAAGUUUUCCAAAUGGACAUUUUUAAAAGAACAACUUACAGUUUGAUUGAUUGAUUGAUGUGCUAGAAGAACUAACAUUUUAAAAAGCUGUGUAUUUCAGAAGUAUUUUUAAGAAGGUAGUCAUACUCAAAGAUAUUUGAAAUGCAGAGACUGUUCAUUCACACCUAGAUCUUAAUUUCCUUUUUUCAACUCAGACCCAGCGUUCUUUAGACACUAUAGGCAGACUAUACGCAUAUGAUGUAUACAUAAAUGCACAUAAUCACAGCAUUUGGUUGUGACAAACUAGUUUUACUAAAAUGGAAGAUUUAAUAGAUGAAAUGAGGAAAUAUGUCAAUGUAAUAGCAUAUUAGAUUUUGCAAAUGAGCUAUUCCUAAGGCAACAUGAAUUGUUUUGCUUUUAUAUUUCCACAAUCGUUUGUUCAUUUGACAACUAACAUUCAGAAUCCAUCUUUGAUCUUGGAGGACUUGUACAAAUCAAAGUAUAAUAAAUCGUUACACUUGGGGGACUCAAGGUGACAUUCGACAAAAGCUGUCUUCUGAAAAAGUCCUUGGUCUGUUAGAUAUACAGACCUUCUGCAAGACCUGGUGUCAGGGCUAGUCCUUAGCAGACUUGAAAAGAGGGAAAACCUGUCUUUAGGGCUUUCAACAUUACUCUGUGCCCCAUUUCCCAUCAAGCAUCUGGGACCCAAAAAUUCUAGUUUCCACGUAUUGAGGAUUUAUUAUGUGACACACACUUACAUGUAUUAUUUCUGAUCCUUACAUCAACUUGCAGGAUCAGAAUUUUAUCCUCAUUGCAUAGAAAAUGAAGCUCAAUGAAUCUCAGUACAUCUUCUAAGAGGCAGAGCUGGGUUUCAACCUUGGGUCUAACUUCAAAGCCCCUCCUGAAGCCAAUGACAUCAUCAUGUCUCAGCCUGAGGCUUCCCUGUGGAGUUCACACCCAAACUUGUUCUUCCUGUUUUGACUCUAGAUUCCCUUCCUGGAGCUUUGGCUUGGGACAGUAAUCAUCUGAAUAUAGGCAGUAAUGAUUUUUUUUUUUUUUUUUCUGUGAGGGGGGUAGAACGGAAAGCAUAUAUGCUCCCACCUCUUCUAUUAGUUUUUAUUACAAAUUCUAUUUACUUUCUGAUAGGGACAUUUUGGAAAUGAUACCUUUACCCAGAGGAAUUGUAACAGGAUAAAUUUCGAACAGAAUGGCAUAUUGUUGAUCAGGCAGACGGCAUGACUGCCAACUCGGCAUGCUGCUAACAUUAGCCAUUUGUGUUGUGAAAACUCCUGUUAGCUUCUUAGAGCUACAAAGCCUGUGAUGAGAAAUUGUCUUUAUUUUGCUUUGUGAAUAUCUGCCAUUUGAUUUUCACUUUACAACAUAAACUGACAUCUCUUGGGCUUGUAACAGAAUUUUUCCACUGUGAAUAAGUCCCCAAAAGCACUCUGGGUUGGUAGAACAGCCCGAUGUUCUGUUAAAAAUCACUGGAAAUUAAUUUCUAUUAAAGACCCAGCUUUGAAAUUUACUGUGUUACUUUGGGAAAGCCACAUCACCUCUCUACACCUUCAGAUGUAAAUGGCUGUCAUGAGGAUCAAAUGAGAUUCCAGUUUUACAAAAGGUUUUGCAGAUUGUUAAGAAUUAUACAAAAGUAAGGGCAUUUCUGGGCAUCAUUUUGAAUCCUAUUCAUUCCUUCCUGAGAAAUAAUCUUGCAGUAUAAGGCAUUGACUUGCAUCUUCCAUCUGUGCUAUCCUUUGACCUCACCCUAUGAUACUCCUUGGAUCUUCCCUCUAAUUUACCUCUGCUCUGCCAAUAAUCAAUAUGGCAAGAGCUUCAAACAUUUUCUUCUUGGAUUUCCUAAUUCUGACCAAUGGCAAAUCCUGAAGUUAUUAGGUAUCAAGGGCCCUUUUAUCAAAUCCUUACAAAGAAGCUUUCCUUUUUGUAAUUUUUUCCCUUUUCUAUCAGUUAAUAGUUUAUCUUUCGUAAUCACUGAUUAUUGUGAUUAUUGUCUACUUGGGAUAGAAGGCAGGGAUUAACAGAACCGUAUGAGGAGCGAUGAAUGAAGAUACCUCUUUCACUCAUCCUUUCUUCCCAUUUGCUUCUCAUUUGGGGGUAACAGGUACCUCUCAUGCCCAUUAGUCUGAUUCUUUCUCUAAAAAGUACCUUAGUGCCCUCUACAGGUUGUGUGAAUUUCUCAUCCCAUGAUCUUGUUAACAUGUUAUGCCUUCUCCCUUAACUCUCUCCUAAAACCACUGGUGGCUAGGUUCUUCCCAGGGGUGCCGGAUUCCAGGAGGAUUGCUUAUUUGUAGUAAUCUCUGAAUUGUAUUUAUCUAAUGAGAGAAUUGAAGAAUAUGGUGAUUUCAAUCUUGUUUGCAAUUUGAGGGAGAGAAUUGAUCCCAACUGUUUGGCAUGUCAGUAGUUACUAGGAGACCAUUUACAGGUGAUAAGCUACAGAAGACAUUUGCAGGUGAGAAAUCUGAAACCGAAAAAGGUCAAAGUUUGUAAGGCUUCCGAAACUAUUCUGUGGUAGUUGCAGGGCCAGAAUCUAGGUCUCCCAGCAUUUAUUCGCACAUUCUUCCUUUCCUUUGUUUUGCAUAGUUUCUUUUCCAUAUUUUCAAAAGUUUCUGUUUUGUCCUCCAGUUGUGUAUCUCAAAACCUACCCUAAGGAGCUACUAACAUCAUCCAUUUGGCUUCAGUAGGUAACUGAUGGAUUAGGUCUUCCAGCAUGUCAAAAGGAUCUGCUUGGUAAUGCUAAUCCAAUUUGUAACCACAUCCUUGUGCCAUUGCAAAUGUCUCAGAGGUCAAAAGUAUAAUUUAGUGAGAACUGGAAAGUGCAGCAAACAUGGGAGAGGGCUCAUUUCUUGAUUUACUUGAAAGUUGCCUAAAGCAAAGGACUCCAACAUACAACUUUGUAAUGAGCUUUGGAUUGAAAGGCAGAAAUCUGUUGGCUUUUCCUAGCCUUUACGGGCUGGAAAUUCUUGAACACCUUCUCAACUUUCUUUUUUUUGAAAUGUCAUUCACUCAUUCCCAAAUUAAUUGACAUCAUCAGCGUGGAGUUUAUCUUGCUCACUCCAAAUGCAGAAUGUCCACUGACUCAAAUCCUUAAUCAUCCAAGAAUUUGGGACUCAUGAAAGCUUUUCUUCUUUGAAAUUAUUUAGAGAUUUGGAAUACAA
Chlorocebus sabaeus (green monkey) is the source of this 4891-nucleotide non-coding RNA. The record is from RefSeq and is a predicted model, not a curated record. NCBI's taxonomy places the organism in Eukaryota, Metazoa, Chordata, Mammalia, Primates, Cercopithecidae.